CCACAUGAUGCAUAUGUAUUCUUUCAUGUUAUAACGGCAAAUUUUGUUUGCCGUCUCACAUUCCACAAUCCAAAUAGCGAUUUGCCCUUUUAUCCUUCGGCUCGUGCCCGGAAACCAGAAAAGGAAAGAAGGAUCGGAGAGGAAGGAGAGAGAAAGGCCGAGGAGGGCGAUGAUGCAGUUCGAGUUGGUGAAGAGAGAGAACCGGGUCCGUGUGUGGGGCGGGGCCCUCUUGCUGUUCGUCUUCGUCAUGGUCGCCACCCCGAGAAUCCCCCACUCCCCCGCCCUCCACCUCUUCGCCGACAUGCGCAACUUCUUGGGAGUUCCCAAUACUCUGAACGUGCUGACGAGCUUUCCCUUCUUGCUGAUCGGCGUGCCUGGCCUCGUCCUCUGCCUCUCCGGCAGCUGUUUCGGCAUCAGCUUAAAAGGGGAGGUCUGGGGCUGGGCAUUGUAUUAUGCUGGGGCAGCGGCGGCUGCUUUUGGAUCUGCUUAUUAUCAUCUGAAGCCGGACGACGAACGGGUUAUUUGGGACCGAUUACCGAUGAUGAUUUCAGCCUCUUCAGUCCUAUCUAACUUACUCAUAGAGCGAUAUGAUGAGCGGAUGGGGAUUACAUGUUUGUUUUCCCUCCUAAUGCUUGUUUUGGUUAGCAUUGCAUGCGAAAGGACCUUUGAUGAUCUUCGUCUCUGCAUGAUGUUCUAUUUUGUUCCAUGUGUUGCAAUUCCUGCAAUGGUAUUCUUGUUCCCACCAAAGUACACCCAUUCAAAAUAUUGGUUCUGGGCAACAGGGUUUUACCUUCUGGCGAGAUUUGUGGCCAUUGCAGAUAAAAGGGUUUACAGUGUAACAAGAUAUGCUAUCAGUGGCCACUCGUUGGAGCACCUUUGUUUAGCAAUGGUUCCUAUGAUGCUUACUCUGAUGCUCUGGUUCAGAAAUAUUAAGAUUGCGAGGGCAGAAGGGAAAGUAUAAGGUCAUAAUAUGAUGUCAGUUCACUGAUCAGGCUGGGAUUGGAGUAAUGGAGGCAUGGCAAUGUUAAAGUUGAUUAAUCACUUUGUCAAUACAAAAGGACUCUUGAAGCAGGUCAAGGCUUUAAGAAGUUAAUUAAAAUGACGUUAGAAUCAUUCAUUGGUGAAGCAGGUGCAGGCGGAGAGAAUAUCCUGCUGGAACACUAUACAAUUUCUUGUUUUUGAAUAGCCAACGAAGAGACAAUUUGACAAAUGUACUAAAACUGAUUCCAAAAAUGAAGUGAUUCGGAACAAUCAAUUGAUAGGAGCUGCUUCGUUGUUCUUUUCUCUGAACUUUGAGAGUAGCAACGAGGGAGAUUGUGGGCUGUUGCAUCUUGAUGUUGUUUGCGGAUAUUUGUUGGAAAGGAGACGAUGCUAAUUUGAAGUAUCGUUUUGCUUAUGCCGGAGAUAUGACUCUCUGGCAAGAUACAGUGCAAUUUAUGCAGCAUUUUGUA
Non-coding RNA from Elaeis guineensis (African oil palm), 1451 nucleotides. Lineage: Eukaryota; Viridiplantae; Streptophyta; Magnoliopsida; Arecales; Arecaceae. The record is from RefSeq and is a predicted model, not a curated record.